UACGGAGGGUGCGAGCGUUGUCCGGAUUCAUUGGGCGUAAAGGGUGCGUAGGCGGCGCGGUAAGUCGAGUGUGAAAGCCCCGGGCUUAACUUGGGAAUUGCGCUCGAAACUACUUUGCUGGAGUGUGGCAGAGGAAGGUGGAAUUCCACGUGUAGCGGUGAAAUGCGUAGAGAUGUGGAGGAACACCAAUGGCGAAGGCAGCCUUCUGGGCCAACACUGACGCUCAUGCACGAAAGCGUGGGGAGCAAACAGG
RNAcentral lists this ribosomal RNA (253 nucleotides) under uncultured bacterium. Its description in RNAcentral is "partial 16S ribosomal RNA". It matches the Rfam family "Bacterial small subunit ribosomal RNA", at positions 524 to 776 of the family's 1533-position model. The record is from RNAcentral.